GUGUCAGCCGCCGCGGUAAUACGUAGGGGGCAAGCGUUGUCCGGAAUGACUGGGCGUAAAGCGCGCGCAGGCGGUCUUUCGCGUCUGGGGUGAAAGGUCAGGGCUCAACCCUGACAUGGCCUUGGAAACGGGGAGACUUGAGGGUCGGAGAGGUCAGGGGAAUUCCACGUGUAGCGGUGAAAUGCGUAGAUAUGUGGAGGAAUACCAGUGGCGAAGGCGCCUGACUGGACGAAACCUGACGCUGAGGCGCGAAGGCGUGGGGAGCAAACAGGAUUAGAAACCCCGGUAGUCC
Molecule: ribosomal RNA, 292 nt
Filed under: uncultured Alicyclobacillaceae bacterium
Lineage: Bacteria; Bacillati; Bacillota; Bacilli; Caryophanales; Alicyclobacillaceae
Description: partial 16S ribosomal RNA
Rfam family: Bacterial small subunit ribosomal RNA
Source: RNAcentral